This 2934-nucleotide long non-coding RNA is filed under the name Homo sapiens (human). Its description in RNAcentral is "HSALNT0352603". Lineage: Eukaryota; Metazoa; Chordata; Mammalia; Primates; Hominidae. The record is from RNAcentral.
UGUUUAUCCCCUUCAAAAUUUCUGUUGAAACUUCAUCCCUAGUGUGGCAGUAUCGAGAGGUGGGGGCUUUAAGAAGGGAUUGGGUCAUGAGGACUCUGACCUCAUGAAUGGAUUAACUCAUUCAUGGAUUAGUGGAUUAAUGAGUUACCAUGGGAGUGGGUCUGGUGGCUUUAUAAGAGGAGGAAGAGAGACCUGAGCUAGCAUGCUCAGCCCCCUCACCCCCUGUGCUACCUUGGGACUCUGCAGAGUCCUCGACAGUAAGAAGGCUCUCACCUGUUAUGCCCCUGGACCUUGGACUUCUCAGCCUCCAUAACUGGUGCCUGUGCAGCAGUAUUCACUGUGAUAGGAAGUGAGAAGCAGUCUGAGUGUUCAUUGCUGAGGGAAUCAAGGGCAAAAUAUCAUGGAUGCACUCAUGGACAAAUAAGCAGCAGUUUGAAGCAACAACCUAGAUGGAUGUACAGCCAUCAAGAGGAUCUUAAAGUGUGGUCUUUAGUGGAAAAAAAGCUUAUUUUGGGAGAGACCAGCCGCCAUGUCAUGAAGACACUCAAGAAGCCCUGUGAAGAGGGAGCAAGGCCUGCCAACAACAGCCAGCACCAACUUUCCAGCCAAGGGACUGAGCCAUCUCACAGUGGAUCCUCCAGCCCCCACCAAGACUUCAUAUGACCAAACCAAUACCAACAUGUAACUGUGACCUCAUGUGAGUCCCCAAGCCAGAAUACCCAUCUCCUGUCUCAUAGAAAUGAUGAGAAAUAAUAAAUAUAUGUGCUCACACAUAUUACCAUCUAAUUUUCUACAUUAUAUGUUUAUUUCCCCACUGUAUAUAAGAUCCAAGGACUGUUUUCUUUUUCACUGCUAUAUUCCAAGAACCUAGAACAAAUCUGGCAUAUGGUAAGUAUACAAUAAAUAUCUGUUGAAUUAAUUAAUGGGAAAAAAUAAAUGAAUGAUGAACGGCUGCUCUGGAAAAAAUACCUUGAAGAGUGGCAGGAGCGGAAAGAGGAGGAUCAGAUGGGAGGCUAACAGCCAGCACCACCUUGCCAGCCAAGUGACUGAGCCAUCUUGCAGUGGAUCCUCCAGCCCCCAUCAAGCCCCAACUAAGCCACUAAGUUUCAUGGUAAUUUCUUACACUGCAAUAAAUAACUAAUACUGGACCAGUGAGAAAAGGAGUCAAGAAUAAUCUCAGCUUUCUACCUUUAAUAACUUAAUGGAUAGUGGUGCUAUUAAUCAAGUCAGGAAAGAGAAAGGACAAUAAUUACACCUAUAGUAUUACCCAAAGUCAUGAUAAAUUAUUUUCCAUAUGCUCUUGCUAAAAUUUAUGUAGUCAUUCAACUUAUUUUAUUGAGUAUCUACCAUGAAACUGGCAAUAUGGAAGAACCUUCUGAUAUAGAACUGAAUAUAAUUUAGUCACUGCCCUCAAGUAAUAAGUCUGGAGAAUCAAGAAUCUGAAAAAUGUUUGUAGCUUUUGUUCAAAAUUUUCUCUCAGCCAUUUAAAGGGAAAAUUAUGAAGAUUGUAUAGUGGUGACAGACUGGGAUAGCAGUCCACAAAAACUUAGGAAGCCCUUCCAUAGCACAGAGUCAAUGCUGAGGAACAGCUGCCCAGCCAGGGGCUACAUUUUCCAACCCACCCUUGCAUCUAGGUGUGGCCACAUGGUGCAUUUGGACAAUGGGUGAUAAACUAGUAUGAGAAUGAGAACAGAAGUAAUGUGUGUUUCUUCUAGGCUGAGGAUAUCAGAAAACAAACAUAUCAUCUCUACACUGCUUAUUUCUCUUUCUACAGAUUCAGUACAGGUAAUCAUGUGGCUCUAGGCAAUGCCAGAGUCACAAGAGGGAAGGAAACUGGGUCCCCAUCCCAUUUGGUAGACAAGAGUCUUUGCCCACCAGGGACAUCCUCAUUGGACUAUGGUGUGAGUGAGAAAUAACAUUCUAUUGUUUUUAAGGCAAUAAAAAUUGCCUACAUUUCAGGUUUAUUUAUUACAACCACCCACAUUUUCUUAAGCAGUAGCGAAAGAAACAUAAACGACAGUUUAAUGCCAAAUCAAAAAUGUCAAAUGCAAAAUUAUUUUAUGCUAUUACAGUAUAAAAUUAUGUCCACUUUGGGGCAAGGACUUAGAAAAAUGCAGAAAUAAACAUGUAAAGUUAUUAAGUAGGAACAAUUAUAGAUACAUUUUUAUCUUAUUAAAUUUCAGUUAUUUUUGAAAAGGUAAUAUACAUUCUGUUUAAGAAGGUUAAAGUGAGUAAUUACACUUGAAUAAAGUUUCAACCUGAAAUACUUUAGUUAUAAUUGGAGAAUUACCAGAAGAUUAAAUUCUAGAUAUCUGGAAAUUUUACCUAUGUGAGAUCUGCUCAUUAACCCAUCAAUACCAGAGAGAAGAGGUAUUGCUGGACAUGGUCCUAUCAUCUGGGGGAUAAGUACUGGAGGAGAUGUGAAAGAGAGGGUGAUGGGGCUUCUAAGGUAAGACAUGGAAAAUUGUGAAGAUAUGUGUGUCCCUUAUGGACACUCACAAAAUGGUGACCUAGGCAGAGGAGGAUUUUAAUAAUAGGAUGACCAGUUCUGUGGAUGUCAAUGAGUGGCUUUCCCCCAGCCAUUCCUGUCAUUGUCCAAUGGGCUCAUGAGCCAAGUGGCUGAUAUGGUUUAGAUGUUUGUCUCCUCCAAAUCUCAUAUUGAAAUGUAAUCCUCAGUGUUAGCGGUGGGGCCCAGUGAGAGGUGUUUGGAUCAUGGGGGCGAGUCCCUCAUGAAUGGUCUAGCACCAUGCCCUUGACGAUAAGUGUGUUCUCGCUCUGAGUUUACAUGAGAUCUGCUUGUUUAAAAGUAUGUGGCACCUUCUCUUUUGUUCUCUUGCUCCCACUCUUGCUGUGUGAUAUGCCUGCUCCCACUUUGUCAUCCGCCAUGUGUAAAAGCUCCUGAGGCCUCACCAGAAGCCAAGGAGAUGCUGGCAC